Molecule: ribosomal RNA, 432 nt
Filed under: uncultured bacterium
Lineage: Bacteria
Description: partial 16S ribosomal RNA
Rfam family: Bacterial small subunit ribosomal RNA
Source: RNAcentral
AGCGAACGCUGGCGGCAGGCCUAACACAUGCAAGUCGAACGAACUCUUCGGAGUUAGUGGCGGACGGGUGAGUAACACGUGGGAACGUGCCUUUUGGUUCGGAAUAACUCAGGGAAACUUGUGCUAAUACCGAAUGUGCCCUUCGGGGGAAAGAUUUAUCGCCAUUAGAGCGGCCCGCGUCUGAUUAGCUAGUUGGUGAGGUAACGGCUCACCAAGGCGACGAUCAGUAGCUGGUCUGAGAGGAUGACCAGCCACACUGGGACUGAGACACGGCCCAGACUCCUACGGGAGGCAGCAGUGGGGAAUCUUGCGCAGUGGGCGAAAGCCUGACGCAGCCAUGCCGCGUGAAUGAUGAAGGUCUUAGGAUUGUAAAAUUCUUUCACCGGGGACGAUAAUGACGGUACCCGGAGAAGAAGCCCCGGCUAACUUCGU